UACGUAGGGGGCAAGCGUUGUCCGGAUUUAUUGGGCGUAAAGAGCGCGUAGGCGGCCAGACAGGUCCGUUGUGAAAACUCGAGGCUCAACCUCGAGAUGUCGAUGGAAACUGUCUGGCUAGAGUACGGAAGAGGAGAGUGGAAUUCCUGGUGUAGCGGUGAAAUGCGCAGAUAUCAGGAGGAACACCAACGGCGAAGGCAGCUCUCUGGGACGUUACUGACGCUGAGACGCGAAAGCGUGGGGAGCAAACAGG
This 253-nucleotide ribosomal RNA is filed under the name uncultured bacterium. RNAcentral's name for it is "partial 16S ribosomal RNA". It matches the Rfam family "Bacterial small subunit ribosomal RNA", at positions 524 to 776 of the family's 1533-position model. The record is from RNAcentral.